GGCAGUAUGGUCCAGUGGUUACGACGACGGAUUUUGACCACGCGGUAUGCGAUCGAAAUUCCGUAUACCUGGGUUCGAACCCCAGUACGGCCU
Non-coding RNA from Violaceomyces palustris, 93 nucleotides. NCBI's taxonomy places the organism in Eukaryota, Fungi, Basidiomycota, Ustilaginomycetes, Violaceomycetales, Violaceomycetaceae. The record is from the annotation of a GenBank genome assembly.